GAACGAGACCUUACCCUGCUAACUAGCCCGUAUUGCUUUGGCAGUACGCUGGCUUCUUAGAGGGACUAUCGGCUCAAGCCGAUGGAAGUUUGAGGCAAUAACAGGUCUGUGAUGCCCUUAGAUGUUCUGGGCCGCACGCGCGCUACACUGACGGAGCCAGCGAGUUUUUUCCUUGUCCGAAAGGUCUGGGUAAUCUUGUGAAACUC
This 206-nucleotide ribosomal RNA is filed under the name Myrothecium sp. Its description in RNAcentral is "partial small subunit ribosomal RNA". It matches the Rfam family "Eukaryotic small subunit ribosomal RNA", at positions 1333 to 1562 of the family's 1831-position model. The record is from RNAcentral. Lineage: Eukaryota; Fungi; Ascomycota; Sordariomycetes; Hypocreales; Stachybotryaceae.